AGAUAGUACUUUUCAAAAAAAUCUAUUUAUUUUGGCGGCAUUUUAUCUUAUUAGAGGAACUUGUUUCAUAAUCGAUAUUCCACGAUAAAUUUCACUUUAAAAAAAAUCUGUAUACCGCCAUUUAUAAGAAUUAAUUAAAAACUUUUAUUCAAAAUAAUAAAUAAUAAAUUAGGUCAAGGUGCAAUUUAUAUUAAAGAAGAAAUGAGUUACUUUAAAAAUAAUUUAUAAAAAAUACAAAUAUAUUUAAAAAAGAAUUUAAAAGUAAUAAAAUAAUAAUAUUAUUUUAUGAAUAAGAUAAUAAAUGUGC
This 307-nucleotide ribosomal RNA is filed under the name Cycloctenus westlandicus. RNAcentral describes it as "partial 12S ribosomal RNA". Lineage: Eukaryota; Metazoa; Arthropoda; Arachnida; Araneae; Cycloctenidae. The record is from RNAcentral.